Molecule: ribosomal RNA, 439 nt
Filed under: uncultured bacterium
Lineage: Bacteria
Description: bacterial SSU rRNA
Rfam family: Bacterial small subunit ribosomal RNA
Source: RNAcentral
CCUACGGGAGGCAGCAGUGGGGAAUAUUGGGCAAUGGAGGCAACUCUGACCCAGCAACGCCGCGUGAGUGAUGAAGGUCUUCGGAUUGUAAAACUCUUUAAGUGGGGACGAAGAAAGUGACUGUACCCACAGAAUAAGCCUCGGCUAACUACGUGCCAGCAGCCGCGGUAAUACGUAGGAGGCAAGCGUUAUCCGGAAUGACUGGGCGUAAAGGGUGCGUAGGUGGUUUGGCAAGUUAGUAGCGUAAUUCCGGGGCUCAACUUCGGAACUACUACUAAAACUGCUGGGCUUGAGUGCAGGAGGGGCAUAUGGAAUUCCUAGUGUAGCGGUGGAAUGCGUAGAUAUUAGGAGGAACACCAGUGGCGAAGGCGAUAUGCUGGACUGUAACUGACACUGAGGCACGAAAGCGUGGGGAGCAAACAGGAUUAGAUACCCCAGU